Molecule: ribosomal RNA, 414 nt
Filed under: Amanita sp. TH8247
Lineage: Eukaryota; Fungi; Basidiomycota; Agaricomycetes; Agaricales; Amanitaceae
Description: partial 28S ribosomal RNA
Rfam family: Eukaryotic large subunit ribosomal RNA
Source: RNAcentral
AGAAUGACUUUUGACCUCAAAUCAGGUAGGACUACCCGCUGAACUUAAGCAUAUCAAUAAGCGGAGGAAAAGAAACUAACAAGGAUUCCCCUAGUAACUGCGAGUGAAGCGGGAANAGCUCAAAUUUAAAAUCUGACAGUAUUUGGCUGUCCGAAUUGUAGCCUAGAGAAGUGUUGCCGGCACUGGACCAUGUACAAGUCCCCUGGGAUGGGGCCUCAUAGAGGGUGAGAAGCCCGUUUUUGACAUGGACUACCAGGGCGUUGUGGUACGCUCUCAAAGAGUUGAGUUGUUNGGGAAUGCAGCUNUAAAUGGGUGGUAAAUUCCAUNUAAAGNUAAAUAUUGNNGNGAGACCGAUAGCGAACAAGUACCGUGAGGGAAAGAUGAAAAGAANUUNGGAAAGAGAGUUAAACAGUA